RNAcentral lists this transfer RNA (72 nucleotides) under Phrynosoma platyrhinos (Desert horned lizard). RNAcentral describes it as "tRNA-OTHER". The record is from RNAcentral. Lineage: Eukaryota; Metazoa; Chordata; Lepidosauria; Squamata; Phrynosomatidae.
GCCAGCAUGGCAUAGUGGUUUGAGCAUUGGAGUAGGACUCUGGAGACCAGGGUUCGAUUCCUGGCUCAGCCA